Molecule: long non-coding RNA, 2733 nt
Organism: Lycium barbarum (goji berry)
Lineage: Eukaryota; Viridiplantae; Streptophyta; Magnoliopsida; Solanales; Solanaceae
Exons: 2
Source: RefSeq, a predicted model, not a curated record
CGAACCAAACAUUCCUUUUCUCCUUCAACCAACAGCCCUAACGUCACCACCCACCCCAUCGCCGCCACCCUUGUCACGUCCGUCACCUCACCACCACCACACCCAUCAGACCACGGAAUCAAGCACCCGACUCUUUCGUUAACCCAAAAACGUUGAAAUCUGUUGGGUUGAAGCUUUCCUCGCCUCCACUGCUACCACGUCUCUUUUCCCUUUGAUUGACGUGGUGGCAGAGCCGAAGGGAGUCGAUAUAGGUCGUUUCAACCUCUGUAGAAGAGGAGUGCAACGAACCGCUAGUUACAAGCUCGAACCCUCCUUCGAUUCGGUGGGUAAUGGGGGAAUCUACCAUGUAUUAGACCCCAACGACCUUUUCCCUUCCCAAUCAGUCUGAAAAGAAAUUCUCGGUGGUUCUCGGCCAAACAAGCUCUUCAAGCGGAUUCGGAGACUCGGCGACGACGUUAACCUCAGUUCGCUGUCACGGAGAAGAUAAUCACAUUCGUCCUAUCUUCGUCUUUAAUUUUGUUAAAGUAGAAAUGUAUUCGUCAAGUAUUUCUCAUCGUUUAUUUGGUUUAGUUGGCUAGAUUGUGUUUGCUCCUCAUUUGUUGUAAAUUAGUGUAAUGCGACUAGUUUCGUCGAAUAUGUGUUCAACCCCAUCGCUGCUCUUGAAUAAGAUUUUUUUUAAGACAGGAUAAAAUUUGUUUAGUUUGGGGAUGAAGAUUACUGCGUUUGCGCUGUUUUAGUAUAGUUGUUCGUAUGACUUAGCUCUAAUUCAGAUCAGAUUCAGUUGAUGCCAACGUAGUUAUGAACUAGAAGCUUACAUGGUUGAAUUGGUUAACUUUGAGAAUUCGGUUCGAGUUUAUCAAAUGCUUUUUUUUCUUCAGUUCUUUGUGAUGAAUAUCGUUUGCUUAAUGUUAGUCAACUGUGAUAUUUUGCUUCUGCCUUUAGUUCUCUCAUUCACUUAGAAGUUAUAGGAUUAAGAGAAACAAUUCUCCUUCUUCAUUUUGGCAUUUUCACUUUCCAGUUCUGUCUAGUUAGUUUAGCUUAGUCUUCGAGUAAAUGUUUAGCUUUUUGUUAGCCUUGCGUGUGCGAAACAUGAAUCGAUGCUCAAUUUUUUUUGUUCUGUCCUUUUCUGUUUGAGUCGCAUGAGUAUGAUUGUAUCGAUUAACAUCGAACAUUCUGUGCUUAUGCCUAUCUACCUCUGAUAUAUGUUCUUGGUUUCCUUAUCAAAGUUUAACUAGUUUGAGGUCAAUCAUGUUUGUUUAGCAUAAAAGACAAUUAAAGAUGAGUUUAUGACUUAAGGUUUUAACAUACGAUAACAUUGUAACACCUUGACUAUACCCCUUUUCCCAAAACUGAUUUUUAGCAAGAAGGGAUUUAAACCAUGGUAUUUUUGUUUUAAAUAAGCCAUGUUUCAGCUUUGGAUGGAAUCAAGACCUGUGCAUUUUAAGAAACUCUUAGUAAACUUUCAUAUGAAGUAUUUGAUAGCAUGUCUACAUUGGAAACUAUCUUGAUCACUACCCUCUAAGAUGGCUAAAUAUGAUAUUGAACAAGAAGAUAUGUUAGAGGUCAUGCCCUUUGGAAGUUAGGAUCUGACCAUGAAUGGCCUAACUAGCUGCUUGUAUGCAAUGUGCUGUUGUGAUUCUUCUGUAUGUUUUGAGCCUUUAAACAAGAAGAGGAUUUUAGUUUAACCACCUAUUUAAUCAACUUAAGUGUACAAUAAGUUCUUUUGCUGAUAAUCUUCAGUUUUUCUCCCUUUCACUAAGUGAGACUCUGAUUCUUCCUUUCUGCUUUCAAGCUGGUUCAAAGUGUAAUCCGUAUUUUGUUUUCUUCAUGUCUAAACUCCUAUGUAGAACCUUCUCAAGAAAUAAUGGAGUGCUCUUAUUUUGGUGGUUGGAUUCUGUUCACGCAUUAGAUAAAGUAUGACUGUUCUGUGCUUGUGAUUCUCAUGCUCAGCUGCCUUAAGGUGGUAAGUUGAUGGUUUUUGAGGUCAACCAGGCAGAUCCUCCUUUACUCACAAACCAUGAGCUGUAUUUAAUAUGGUAUAUGUUUAUUUGAUCUUCCAUUUUAAGAGUGUCGAUUGAAACUUUUGAAAUCUAGCACUAAGCUUCUGUUUUAAUAUUGGAGUGGAAUAGUGGGCAUCCUGUUUGGGAAUUUUCUUUUACCUUUUGUCCUAAAAAUUAUCUCCUGUGUGUUCACUCAUGAAAGGAUUUCGAAAACUUGCUUGCUGGUUAGUAAUUCCCUACGCACAGAUUAUUAUUUGGUCUUGUUUGUUUUACUCCAUUUUUUUUGGGAUAAAAGCUGCUCUAAUCUUUUUCUUUCUCUCUUUCUUUUUCUGCAUGAAACACUUGGGGAGCGUUUGGAGUGAAGGCAACUCCGGAUUCUGCCCAGAUUCAGAGAAAAAAAAACAGUAGCUGCAUCCGCGCGCUCGUGCCUAACAGCCCUCGUCCACGUCUCGAGUCUCCAUCCCUCUUCCUCUCCUCAGAAUUUUAUCUUUUGUAUCAAUAUACAUGCUUUGACUAACGAUGAUACUAAUUUGGUGUUGUAUUUGUGCCUUUGUUGUUCUUGGUGGGGUUCGUAAGAACCAAUUUAGACACGAUAGUUAGACAUAGUCAUUUUUCUCCCCCCCCCCCCCCCCCCCCCCCCCCUCUCUUUAGGUAUUGAAUGUGGUAUUACUAAUUGACAUAGGUACACUUAAGAGUGAUGGUAUUUGCUAAAUGAUUUCCGGUUACCACUUGA